UGAUUCGGACGUACCAAACCAUGCUACCUAGAGUACUAUGACUCUUUAACUCAAAACAAGGCUCAAACUGCUCGAAUCAAGCCUAAACUAAGUUGAAGCAUCUUGUUCGGCUCACUCCACGGCAGUUCUAGCUUCUCUCCCCCUUUAAUAAGGUCUUUCAUGCUAAGAAGAGAGAAGUUCCAAACUCUUUUUAUACUAUUCUUUUCACUUCAAAAAAAAAAAUUGAAGAAAGGGG
This 235-nucleotide long non-coding RNA is filed under the name Elaeis guineensis (African oil palm). RNAcentral describes it as "long non-coding RNA (EGUI_LNC047810)". Lineage: Eukaryota; Viridiplantae; Streptophyta; Magnoliopsida; Arecales; Arecaceae. The record is from RNAcentral.